UAAGAAUGGGAAACUAGCCCUUAGCAACAGAGCAUUGGCCAAGCUUAUUAUACAGUACAAGAGGUGUGGGAGAAUUAAUGAUCUGUCAAAGCUUCUCUGUAGUAUCCAGAAGAAGGGCUCAGUUGAAUCUAGCAGAAUGUGCUCUGAUGUGGUUUCUGCCUGCAUUUGCAUGGGUUGGCUUGAAAUUGCUCAUGAUAUUUUGGAUGAUUUGGAUUCUGAAGGAAAUCCG
RNAcentral lists this unclassified non-coding RNA (229 nucleotides) under Hevea brasiliensis (rubber tree). The record is from RNAcentral. Lineage: Eukaryota; Viridiplantae; Streptophyta; Magnoliopsida; Malpighiales; Euphorbiaceae.